Molecule: long non-coding RNA, 966 nt
Organism: Anas platyrhynchos (mallard)
Lineage: Eukaryota; Metazoa; Chordata; Aves; Anseriformes; Anatidae
Source: RefSeq, a predicted model, not a curated record
UGACACCCUGUUUGAUGUUCAGAAGGGCCCAGCUCCUGUAACGGGAAGGUGUUAGUCCUGACAAGGAAGCCUGGCACAGAGGCCCCUGUGUUUCUGCCGGCCGUCCCCCUCUCAGAAGCGGAUCAGGGAGGUGGUGUGGUUCACACAGUGUUUCUGCAGCCUCGAUCUCCAGUUCAUGAGAGGAAAAUGCCACCACCUGUGUGCAGAUGGUGAGGGGACAGCCUGACCCGCCACACCUGUGCUGUUUGCCCAGAGCUCCCCAGGCCUGGGGAGCCCAAGAGGCAGCUGAGAUCAAGGCUCGUUAGUCUCAAGCCAAGGAAAGGAUCCUGUGUUGCUGUGGGAGGCAAAUGGAUGUAUUGUGUUGGGGCUUAUCCACAGAGGACUGUGAAACUACAAAUUACAAUCCAGCUGCAUUUUCUUAUCUGGAUUUUUUCCCCAUGUGCCCGUGAGUCCUCCCCUCUACACAAGUAGAAGGUGCAAAGAGAAACUUGAGUGAGAAAGCAGAGAUGUAAGCCCAAAGGGACCCUGAUGGCACAGAAGAUCCUGUCUGUGUCUGUGGGUGCUGGGUUUCAAUGGGAUGGUGUGGCUGGUGCCUCUCUGGGACUGGAUGGAGCUACCAUGUUUUACAUUCACAGAGGAUGUGACGUCUCUGAAUUUAGUUGUUUCUUUUUUUUUUUUUUUUUUUUUUUUUCUUUUGUGACUGCCUGGAGACUUUGUUUCUGUAACUGUCCUUAAUAAAAAUAAAUCAAGGCAGCCAGAGGUAACAGUCAAUACAUCUGCUGCAAGUCUCUCCACCCAGGAGGAAGGGAAAGAAGAGGGCUACCCUUUCUCUUGCUAAUUAUGGCAGUGAAAUAGGGGAUCCACCCACUCAACUUCCUCAGCUGUUCUCCAUCCUCACCCCCCUUCCUUGAAGGGAGUAUGCCACCAGCAGGCCCCCAGGGGCGAGACAGCACUCAGCAGGAGUUU